Molecule: long non-coding RNA, 933 nt
Organism: Myxocyprinus asiaticus (Chinese sucker)
Lineage: Eukaryota; Metazoa; Chordata; Actinopteri; Cypriniformes; Catostomidae
Exons: 3
Source: RefSeq, a predicted model, not a curated record
UGCGGUGGAACUGCUUUACCCAACAUCCAUACUUUUUAUGGGAUUACUGCAUUAUUGUAGAAACUAUUCUGACUGGCAUCACGUCCAUGUCCUUUGGGGUUACUAGUAAGUAGAUGUCGAGGUAAAGGGACAAAAAGAAGAGCUGACUGGUGAACUAUCUGCAAAUUCAAGGUCAAAUGUAUUAUGUUCUUGCCCUGUUGUUUUCCAAGUUUGACAGUUACAUCAUAAAAGGCUCAGUUUGAGAAAUCAAAAAAAUCAAGUGAGCAUCCCUUUCUAUACAUCAUGUCAUAACUCAUAUAUUUGCAUGAAUGCAAUACAUUACAUUCCAGUUCUAUACACUAAUUAUCCAUUAUCUGACCAUUAUCCAUUAUCUGACUAUUUUUGAACCUUCUGUUUUUAACAGCACAUUUCUAUUCUACAGAGAUGGGUGGAAUUCCAUGGAAAAGUACACCUUACACAAAAUCUACACACGUAGUCUUAACUCUCUGGCCGAUUGUGGUAACAGGGUACCUGUUCUGAGAUCAAGGUGCGAAACAAAUAAUUACCCAAUUACCCAAAAACUAUUAAGAGGUGAGCCAGUACUGACAAUACACUUUUGGUGUAACACAAGCAAGGGGACACUGAAGCAUCUGCUGUCUAUCAGGGUAAAAUUACAGGUUAUGAAAAAGGCCCCAUGGACUUCUGAGAAAAAAAUAAAAGCAUUCUCUGACAAAAGCUUGUAACCUCCUACAAUAUAAUAUUUACUUAUGCUGUUUGCUCCAUCUGAAUGCCUUCCUCUUUCUUUUUGUUUAUUCUGUGCAUAUAAAAAACUUUUUUUUAACUGCUACUUUCACGCAUUUGAGAAAAUAAUUUAUCCAAAACAUUUUUUUUUUUUUUUUUUACACAAGUAAAUGUUCACAGUCAAACUAAAAGUUAAGACUAGUUAAGAUCAGC